AUGGAACUGAGUGACAUCAGUGCAAGUCUAACAGUAAUGGUCAUUCAUUAUUUCUUGUUCAGAACAAAAUUAUUUUCUUGCAAUGAGCUAUGUGGGAAUUUGAUUGUUCAAUUACAGUUAAACUUCUGCCAGAUAAAAACUGUAAAAUUUGAAGUUUACAAUUAUAAGAUAAAAAAGCUUCUGUGGAUGGCGAAUUUUGUCUUGGAACUAAUAUGUGAGACAGAAGUCACUGCAUACAAGACUAUCAGCGUUGUGUCACCUGGGUUUUCAUCAGAGACGAUUCAGCUGGUCACAACUAAAAGUGCUGAAUUACCCCAAGAGAAGAGAGCUUGCUUUGCAGUCAUGACUGCAAGUGCUGAAUUAUCCCAGGAGAAGAAAUCUCACUUUUGUCAGGAUUCCAGUCCAAUUUUGCAGACACGAAAGGAGAUAAUCACUCAAAUGUGCAUGUGUGCUUACUGGAAGUGAGUCCAAAC
RNAcentral lists this long non-coding RNA (473 nucleotides) under Calidris pugnax (ruff). RNAcentral's name for it is "lncRNA (ENSCPUG00000019234.1)". Lineage: Eukaryota; Metazoa; Chordata; Aves; Charadriiformes; Scolopacidae. The record is from RNAcentral.